Molecule: non-coding RNA, 47 nt
Organism: Lonchura striata (white-rumped munia)
Lineage: Eukaryota; Metazoa; Chordata; Aves; Passeriformes; Estrildidae
Source: Rfam
AAACAGGUUUUAUUAAAAACCAGCAAAGAGUUUAAAAGUAUGUUUCU